GGAAUUUUGCGCAAUGGGCGCAAGCCUGAUGCAGCGACGCCGCGUGGGGGAUGAAUGCCUUCGGGUUGUAAACCCCUUUCAGGAGGGACGAAGCGAAGGUGACGGUACCUCCAGAAGAAGCCCCGGCCACCUACGUGCCAGCCGCCGCGGUAAUACGUAGGGGGCGAACGUUGUCCGGAUUUAUUGGGCGUAAAGAGCUCGUAGGCGGCUCAGCAAGUCGGCCGUGAGAACCCAGGGCUCAACCCUGGGAUGCCGGUCGAAACUGCUGUGGCUAGGGUCCGGUAGAGGAGAGUGGAAUUCCCGGUGUAGCGGUGAAAUGCGCAGAUAUCGGGAGGAACACCAGUAGCGAAGGCGGCUCUCUGGGCCGGUACCGACGCUGAGGAGCGAAAGCUAGGGGAGCAAAC
Molecule: ribosomal RNA, 404 nt
Filed under: uncultured bacterium
Lineage: Bacteria
Description: bacterial SSU rRNA
Rfam family: Bacterial small subunit ribosomal RNA
Source: RNAcentral